This is a long non-coding RNA of Rosa rugosa (rugosa rose), 1331 nucleotides long. RefSeq lists it as uncharacterized. The record is from RefSeq and is a predicted model, not a curated record. Lineage: Eukaryota; Viridiplantae; Streptophyta; Magnoliopsida; Rosales; Rosaceae. The transcript has 2 exons.
CUGUGGGCCCCGGUAAAAUUGUCGAACUAAGUUGAGAUCGUUGAGGAAUUAAUUUACGAUCUCUGUAAUUAAUAAAGGUGUUCGAGAAUAUUUUUCAGAAUGUUUCAUAAGGUGAAAUCCUUGAUUUAAGAGUGUGAUAAUAAAGAACACGACACGACGAGUUCGUGGUAAUUUUCGGAGAUUUUUUCGGACAAGAGAGCUAUUUAUUAUGAAUUUCUGAAGUUGGAAAAUUAUAGAAAUUCAUUUUAAGUAAAGAGAAAACCCACGGUGCAAUCUGAGGCAUCCAAAUUCUCACCGCUUCAUCGUAGCCGUUGAAAUUCAAUUAAAGGGAGGCUAUAAAUAGGGCUGGAUCAGAUCGAACGUCCCAGAAUGAUCGAGAGGUCUCUGAGCUCUUCCACCCGGAUUCUCGACCCGGUAACCCGCAAAGGAGAUCUGACGGAAUCUCCCUCGUCCAGUCACGAAACGCUGACGGACCACCAGCGUUCGAACCGCUUCGACGUCGCUGACAUUCCUCUGGUAUCGGUUUGGUCAUUCGCCGACCUUGGAGCGAGAAUCGAUGUCGUGAAGCUCUGAGUUUCCCGGCUGUUCUUCGACGAGUUCCGGCGACGAAAUGAUCUGCAUGAUCGAUCCUCUCGGUGAGCUAUACGUACUGGUACACUUAGUUUUCAGUUUUGGAUGGGUUUUGACGAAUUGAUGUUUUGGUGGUUCGGGUACCGGCGGAGCCGCUGUCCUCCUUGGUCGUCCUUUGCUUCUGGGUUCGUCACCGACCUCCUGGAGCAGGGAUUGGCAUCUGGUGGAGCUCGAUUCCUUGAGUGGGUUGAAUUGGUGAGUUGUGGUAUAGGCUGCCACCGUGGUACCACCACUUGUGGUGGCAGUUUGAAUUUCCUUUUUGAUUUUGAGAGAGAUUGGGUUUUUGGUUUUCCGUGACGACGGGAAACUGAAACUUUAUUGGGUUGAGAAUCAAUAUAAGGAUUUCCAUUAAGUCAGAAUUGAGAAGGGUGGAGAGCGGUGGACGAUGAAGGUAAACAGAGAAGGAAACAGAAAGAGAGUAGAGAAUGUUCAGUUGCUUGGUCCAACAACGCAGCAGGAAGGAGUUUUAAAUAAAUAAUUUACCUUAGUGGGGAGAUCACUUUGGACAGUUAUUGUUGGACUUGAUUAUGUGUGGCAUGGGUAUAUUUUCAUUACUAGACUACUGUAUGUAUGUAAUGAUCAAUUGACAAGAGUUGUAAACUAGUUCUCUUUGUAAGGUGGAACUGAUAUCCUGAUUAAGCAAGUAGUGACAAAUGUUAAAAGGUCACGUUGCCUUUAAAGAAAUUGAAGUACCACGUUGU